GGUUCCUUCUCGCGCUCCAGCUGUUGAACCUGCUUGCCGCCUGCUUGGCUGUCUCGUGUGAUGUGGCUCCCUCGUUCUCUUUACCCAUCCCGAUACCCACUCCCUCCCAGGCGUUGGAGGGACCGCUCGACCAGGGCCUCUUGCUUGGGCUUUCGGUCGCUCCUCUCUCCAUCCCAAACUUACCUUGUAUUUGUGUGUAUGUAUUUUAUUUAUCGUGAAAAAUUACUCUGUGCCUCUGUUCCUUUCCCCCACUCUGUUCUUAACCUUCUUGUUUCUCUCUCGCGCGUUUUCUGUGCGCCUGAGCGGGAUCCCUUCUAGUCGUGCCUGUUGUUCAGGACAUGGGAAACCCAGACCCCUCAGAGGAGACUGCACUCUCCCUCUCAGGGCCCUGGAGGGAGGCAACCUCAGAGAAGAGCGCACCUCGGAGGCUGCUGAAAGGCUGGGGUCACGGGGCUGAUCUUGCUGAGCCCCUCCUGAGAGAAGGCUGUGAGAGUGGAGCGACUAGAGCCGGGCUUUGCACCUGUAUAGACGGUCGCUGCGCCCCCAAUCGCCAGAGCUUUGCGGGGUCAGAUGUGACAAGAACCCAGCCUGGGCAGCUGGAUCUCAGCGGGCGGGCGCGCCUCGGCCUGGGGCCGGGAGCUCUGGGCUUCCUUGGUCAGCGUCCCAGAGCUCUCGCCCGACUGACUUGAGGGACGCUUGCUUGCCUGAUUGACCUCUUUAAGGAAAAAAGAAAAAAGGGGGGGUGGGGGAGGUGGCACAGUGGAACUAAGAGCCGGGCCUUCCAGUCGGUUGCUGUGUUUGGCUUCAGGAAGAGUUCUUCCUGUAGUUCAACUUGCUAUUGGCCGGAGUCCCUCCAACUUCUGUUUACUGCCCGGUCCGGUUGCGGAGCCUGCCGGUCGCGCGAAUUGAUUUAACCCGAGGCAGGCGCGGCGGCAGCGCUGGGUGCAUGGUCACUGUUUGCUGGAGAUCUUGAGCCCCAGGUAUUUGGACAGGCCAAGGGCUAAUUGACCCAGAGACGCCAAACAGUGGGGCUGGCGCGACGCGGCGGGCAGGGCUAAUGACAGCACCUGCAGUGAGAGGGAGCUCAAAGUUUCUGGCACUUUGAGUUUCCUGGGGAUAAAAGUGGGACCGGACAGGACUGAGGAGAAUCGGUGUCUGCCGCGGCCAAGGGGAGGCUUUUGGAGUGGCAGGAAGAUUUCCGGAACCAUCCAGGGCUGGUGGUGGGAGCGUGGGAGGCAGUUCGAGGAGAUAAAAGCCUCCGGGACUGGCGAUAGGGAGAGCUUUAGGCCCCCGGAGGGUGUCCUUCUGACCUCACCAAGAAAACAGUGCGCGGUAGUUUUCCCGCUCCGCCCCCGCCAUAACCCCCACCCCCCGCCUAGUAAAUAACAAGUUACAGUCAUUGAGCCUUUCAAAAUGACCUUCGAAAGGCACUGUGCGACAUUUGUGCAGGCCGUUCGCACCCUCCCAAUUACUUCGAAAUUCUUCAUGCAUACCAGGUCCCGCGCUCCACCACCUCAAGAAUCACACCAACUUGGACUUGAGAUGCCAGGAGGCCUCUUAGAUACAUCCCUUUUCAUCUCCCUCCGCACCCCGAGUCCCUUCAUAUUUUCCCUCAAUGGGUUGAUUAUGCACAUUGACCCAUUCAAAAGCAGUUGCGACUGACACGCAGGCUUAGCCGAGAGGAAUUUCUACGAGGCGACCUACUGGGGGCUGUCUGGUUCAGCCCUGCCGCUGGGGGACCCAGCUCCGAGUCCGCAGCAAUUUGGUAUUAACUGUGCGGCUCCGGGUCCAGCUAUGCCUAAAAGCCCUUUUCAGAAUUUCUGCAAGGAAUGUAAUCCAAAUUAGUUCUGCAGCUGUCCUCUUCCUCGUCUCAGGCGACACCAGCUCGCGCCCUUGCUAGUCUCUUCUCCUUUCCCUGGGCGAAUCGUCAGACCCACAAGUGAGCCCAUUUAGAGCGCGAGGAUUAGCGUGCUAUUGUUGUUCCGUGUGUGAGUGACUCUGUACUUGAAAUUCUGGGGGCACAAAAGCGAGCCUCACUUGUUCAAAACACAAAGUGAUCUAGAUGAAAGGGCCGCACAAAGGAAAGCUCUCGGGUGCAUCCCUGGCAUAAUUGCAACACGCAUACUAAGGUGAUCCUUUGGAAACUGUAAAUGCCCCCGGGGACUUUUUUUUUUUUUUUUUUUCAGUUCUCCUCCACCUGGCAGGGAAAGUUUAGCUGGUUUUAACGUAGUGCUAUUAUAAAAACAAGUUGCUCUCUGGGGUGUGUGGCGCUGUAUGUUUGUGCCUGCGUAUGUGUGUGGCUGUGUUUUCCCAAGUAAAUACGUAUCGCGCGUCUCCCCUCUCUCGGUUAGCAGUCAGUAGCAGUUUGGAGGAGUUUGUUUUGGUCCAAAUGAGAAAUUAAGUGCGGAUAAGUAAACUAAGCUGCCAGAGGGCGACAAGAUGUUGAGUGAAUUGCUUUUAGAUGAAACAAAUUAAGGAAACGAGGGAAGACAAUCUGCUUCUCGCAUUAUUAGACACGCUUGGAGUUCAGGGGAAAGUGGCAUAUUUUUGAAAUGCUAAUUUUUUAAGCAGAAGGAAUGCACCUUAUUUACUGCUCUAUGUGAACAGAAUAAAAUUGUAGGGUGGGGGAUUCUGUUAUCUAGAUAUUUAUUAGAAAAAUGUAACAAGAGAUUUUUUUAAAAAAAUGGACUUGGGAAAAAAUCAGCUUUAGAGGAUUUUUUUUUUUUUUAAUUCUGAAGGACUUUGUCUCAUUUCUAGUGAUUCAUUUUAUCUGCAACAUUAUAGCCAAAGGCCAUUUAUAUGGCAAUUAUAAAGCCUUUACCACUCUAAGAAAUGCUUCUAAAAUUUGUCGUCUUCUUUUGAUGGGAAAAUAUCAAUAUUACCUUUGUAUUGAAAUAAAAUAUAUAAUGGUAUUGAAGUGUCACUCUUGCAGACAUUAAUAAAUAUGUGAUGAACAAAUAGAGUUCCCAUUUCUUAUUUGCAGGGAACCCAGUCCAGCUUUCAUUUUUAUAAAAGAACAUCAUCUUUCCUAUAUAUAUUAAAGCUAUAUUAUUGUACCUCCAAAUUUAGGGUUGAUUUUUACAUAUGCAAAGAAAAUGUCCUAAAACUUAAAUGGCACAAAAAGAUGUUAAAUAUAUUUUCAAAUAGCAUCAGUCCUUUUUUUUCUUACGUGUGUUUACUUCAAGCACAGGCAUGAAUACACUAUUCCCUAUCUUCUUUUAAUUUGAAAUUCUUAUAUAUGUAAAAGAGCUUUGUACAAGAAGGUAUUUUUCUCUUCAGGAUACUGCUAAAUAAAUUAAUACCUAUUAUAACUGUAAAUUAGUUGAAAAUGCUGUUACUUUGUAUUGUUAUGAUGAAAUGGAAUAACUGGUUGUGUCAUGGUUCCUAUUUUUCCCCCUUAAAUUCAACUGCCCUUAUUUCAAUCAUGCAUGCAUAGAAAGUCAUUUUUUUUGAAAAUCAAGGCACUUAUGGAGCUAUAUAUAUAUAUAUAUAUAUAUAUAUAUAUAUAUAUAUAUUUCAUUUAGUCACUGGAAAUGUGUCUUAAUUAAGAAAUUACAUUAGAAUAUUUACCAAGGCAUGUACUUCAUGGAAGAUUUAUGUGUUUUUUUUUUCUAACUUGAACACAGUAAGUUAGCAUUGGCUGAUUUUUAGAGUUUGCAUUUAUUUGAUGGAAAAUCAUAUUUCCUCCUUAAAGUGGAUUCAAUUAUUUAGUAUUCAUGAGCUUUCAUCCCUUUGGUUCUUAAAUAGAAGUACUAUUUAUCUUCUGUCUUUUGCAUUCACCCUUUCCAUUACUAUAGAUUCUUUACAUCUUAUUAUUUAUUAAGUUUACACAUGUGAAUAUAUAUUUUCCUUUCUACCACUAAGUGCAUUCAUUUUUUGUGUGUCUUUCCCAGCAACCUGCCACUCAGCCACUGCAGGAGGAGUCCUCUGAGCCAGUUUUCAUUCUCUCUUUCUGAUAAAUCUGAUAUGGCUGGUUGGCUGAACAAUUGCAAGCCAUUCCAUUGCUCAGAUUUAUUCCUGAAAGAAAAUAAAACGGCAUCGAUCCAAGAUCACUAGCACAUCUUAAAAGCCCUUACUCCAAGGCCAAAUCUUUCCAGAGAAAAGUUCCUCUGUACCAGUUCUCUCUCUUACUUCCCUCCUCUUGACCAAGGAAAGAAGGUGGACAGCUGUCAUUUGAAAAAUGCUAGUGAUGCAUGGAAUUGUGCUCUUUCUAUGUAUUUUCUGAAACAUACUGAUUAAAGCCAUCUUGAGAUUAAUGGCUAUGUAAGGUGAACAUUUUCUGCAAUAAGUUGAAUUAGGAUGACUUGAAUUAUUGCAGUGCUACAAAGUGAUGUCAUUUUUGUAUUAUGUCAAAUGAGUUAUUGAGAAGAUUUAGCAUAUAUUUUAAAAAUAGCAGUAAGUUUUGUCUUUAUUGUGUCCUGUGGCUGUUGGAUGUCCAUGUGUGAUUUGUAAAAUACCUAAAGCAUAAAUGAAGCAAAUCAACAAAGAGGAAGUUCUGUUACUUCCAAACUUGUUCAUGUUUGCUUUGUUUAACUUCAUCCUUUUGAGAGAUACUGCUUUUAUAGAGGUGUUAAUGUUUACAUUGAAAUUAGCCCAUAUAUGUUCAAGUCUACAAAAAUUGACAAGACUAUUUUGCUAUUGUCUUUACAAUGAUCCACUGAAUAUGCCAUGGAGGAUAGAAGUUAAUACUAUUACCAACUUUUCUACAAAUUAUAUUAUCAUUUUAGAGAUGUUCUAUUAUGUUAACAUAUCACCAUUUAGAAUCAAAUCACAUUAUUUAUCUAAUACUAAUAUUCUGAAGUAUUAUAACAUUGGGCAGAAUAAAUCCUUACUUUACAUGAUUUCUAAGACCGCUAUCAAGUGAAGUUUACAGUUUAUAAUGAAAGACACUUGAUUUCCUAUUUAUUUUGAGUAAAAAGAUCUUAGACCAAUGUUGAAACUAUAGCUCUUCUACAUAACUUGAAGGAGACCUUAGCAGACUGUUUUGUGGUUAUGUGCAUCACAGGACACAGCCAUGUGGUUUAUAUUAGGAUUUCUACAUUCUAGGGACAGUUCUUCCAAAUGCUUCUUAAUACCUUAAGCAACUCACUCCAUCUCUUUGUGACUUUCCUGGUCUUCCUGGUGGGGGGCAGCAGUGGGGGAGAAUGUAAGUAAUUCACUGUUUUUCCACUGUAUAACAGUUUUCAGAAAAAAAAAAGUUUAAAAUCUGUGAUAAUAAGACACAUUCCAGUAACAAGUUAAUUGUUUUCAUACAUGUAAUUCAAAUUGCUCUAUAUUUUGAAACAUGUACAUAUGUUAAUAAACAUAACAUAAACUUUCUAGCAGGCCAUCUCUAUCAGAAAUGUAUGGCUAAAGAAAUAAAGAGAUCAUUGACUGUACACCAUUUGUAUUUAAAGACUAUUUCCUAAAAAUAUUACUUUUCAGAAUUGUUCUAUGGUCUCUUUAGAUUUCAUUGUACACUUUCCCCCCUCUGAGUUGUUGGUAAUUCUGACAUGUUUUAUUAAAUAGAUUGACCCAUUUUUCCAUGCUUUAAUAAAAAGCUUUAAAGACCCUUUCUUCAUAUUUGGUACUUAAACUAGUGCUUUGUAGUUUGACAAAGAAGAGAUCUAUCUCAUUUGAUGACAGUUGAAAAUGAAGAUGUUUUGGGAACUAAAGAGGUCCUUUUUUUUUUUUUUUUUUUGACAAUGUAAUAAGUUCAUAGUUAUUUUUAUUUUGUAAAAGUGACUGCUCUACAUUCCCAUCAUUUUGCACAACUCCAGGGGGCAGUAGCCACAUAUAGUUUAAUAGAAAUGGGGCAUGCCUGUACUGUGGGUAGUGUGGCAGCAGACCUGCUGGUGUGUGCUAGUGAAUAAAGCACCAAAGUAAACAUUAGGAGAUCUGGAUUCUGGCACAAUCACUUGCGGUAUGAUCUUGGGAUAGACUCCUUGCCUCUGUCUCAAUUUACUCAUCUCUAUUAAUUUAGCUAAAAAUUGUAUCUAAAUUAUUACCAUCCUGAAUAUUCUAAUGAUUCAGUUAGAGAGAAAAAUGGUGCUUAGACAUUUUAGGGGAAAAAUGCUUUGGUUUUGAAUUAUUUUUGUAAGUGGACCUCUUUUUUUUCAAGUGAAUUCAUACAUGUAGUCGAGUAUGGAAAACACGCUUUUACCUCCUUUUGGGUCAAAGGAAAUCUGCUUUUGUUAAAGCUGCAGAGAGAGGCCAGCUUUGUGGCCCCUGCUUUUGGGCCUUUGACAUUUUCCCACUUUGUUCCACUGCCCCCUCUACACACUUGCACUGGCUUUACCCAUGUAAAGUCUAGCACCAUUUAGAAGGUACUGAUCUAGUCUAGUCCUCUUCAUUUCUAAGUGAUGUGACUAGAAGCCAGCUGGGCAGUUAAGUGAAAUAAUUUAGUGGCAGCUCCUGCCCAGUUGUUGUUUUCUACAAAAUGCAUGGAAGUACUUGAAAAGUCAUAGCCUUUUAAAGGAUAAAUAAUAGGUUGUUUUAAAAGACAAUUGUAAAAAUUGAGAUAUAUUGGAUUCACAGGCCUAAUUAGUGUACCGUAUAGUUCAUUUCAAAGGGAAGACUGUGAAUCAUCAUUAUCAUAUUUAAUUUAUUUUUAGGACAUAAUCAUUAAUUGCAUUUUAAAAUUAUGACAUAUUGAAAAAGUAAGAAAUGGAGCACUUUUUGCUAACUGCAAUGUCUUUACCUGGUUAAGCCUAUUUUGGACAUAGAAUUUUGACCUUAAAAAUAACAUACAAAGCCAGGCACUAUGGUGCACACCUAUAAUACCAGUGACUCAGGAGGCUGAGGGAGGAGGAUCUCGAGUUCAAAGCCAGCCUCAGCAAAAAAGGAGGCACUGAGCAACUCAGUGAGACCCUGUCUCUAAAUAAAAUACAGAAUAGGGCUGGGGAUGUAGCUCAGUGUCCAAGUGCCCUGAGUUCAAUCCCUGGUACUGCCUCCCCCCCCCAAAAAAAAAAAAAAAAACAUAUAAGCAUCCCAUAUUAGUGUGUGAUAUAAUAGAACUAGAUUUUUUUAACCUGAGACUUUAUGAAGAUGACUACAUAGUAGAGAAUGAUUGUUUCCCUAAUCCAGAAUAAGUUAUAUAUGUACUUAAAAUGGAUUAUAAAGGGUAACUGGUUAAUUCCUCAUUAUUACUUAGCUGGUGCAGACUAUUUAUCAGUAAAACCAAGGGAAUACUUGUCUAGGCCCAUCCUUGAAUCUAAGAUUCUUUAUCAUUUCUACUCUCUUUGUUGAUCCCUCUUAUUUCUUCAGGUCCCCAUUAAACAUAGUUGCAUUCUUUGAAUAAAUAUAUAAUCAAAGCUUUAAGCACCAAGACUUUAUGAAUUUAUUUUUAUGUCACUUUUGCCUUCCUCUAGUUGGAGUCUGCAAGAUACUUCCAGUGUCCCUUGUGAUUUGGCAAUGCAGUUGAUCCAGCCUUAACGCUGUCUAGUCAUGGCUGAGUUCCCUCAAGUGUCUGUGCUUUCUUGGGCAUGAUAGUAUUCUCAUGCACCCUAUUGACAGAGGGAGAUUGGAAACUCGUUUUGGCAGGGAGAAUCACUCCCUGUUAGGAAAUGGAGAUGAAAAUGGCUCCCCCCAUAAAAGAUUAACGUAGAUACCAUCGAACUUUGGGCCACAUCAUUAAACCUCUCCCUGGAGAAGAGGUUCACCGUCAUUACUCUAAAUCAUAUUAUUUCCAAUAUCGUAGAGGUCACUGAAGCAUACUAAAUACCAAUAAGAACAUGUGAGAUCCAGUUUCUGAAUCCAGGGAGUUAAAGAAAUAGAAAUCAAGGCCAUAAGAGUGUGUGUGUGAGAGUGUGCUAAGUCUACACAGCUUCCCACUUUGAAACAUAGUUUAAAGAUGUUUAAAGAGGAGAAAAUGAAUGAUGCAAUAACCACUCAUUUAUUUUCCAGAAAGAUCAGACUUGUAAACCACCAGUUUCACUUGCUAAAUCUUUAUUACUCUUCUGACCUUUACUUAUAUCUGUUUUCAUGUGCAUCUGGUAUAAGUGCAUAUCCAAGUGUUAACCCUUUAGAAUACAAUAGGGAUCAUAUACCUGCCUUCAAAAAACACAUCUGCUGGUUUUCUAGCUUUAACUGAGUCUAUCUCAUGGCUGCUUAGGACUGAAGAAACAAUGGAAACUGAGGCUGCAGGGUCUGUGACUGCAUCUAGUAGGGCUUAGACAAUAGCUUAUGCAGUCCUCUCUUUCAGGAUGGGUCCCCCAUCACUAGCAGGGGGUGUAUAAUAGAGGUCAUGAAUGGCACUGACUAUUUUGCUCUUGACAAACUCUCCUUUUGCAAAAAUCUUUGUUUGUCAUCAUUUGCUCUUCAUCCCUGUAGGCUUAAAGAUUAUGAGAAUAUGAGUUUUCUUUCUAUAGGGACCUAUGAAAACCAAAUAAAAAUAAAAUAAUGAUUUUUUUUUUAGACCUACACUUGUUUUUUUAGGAAUUCCUUUGAUUGUUUUGUCUACAACUACAGCAGGUAAACAAGUUAAUUCAUUUUAAAGAAAACUGACGGCCUGGGAUAUUAAAAUCUUCUCCCUAAGAUUGUUUACAAAGUCUUAUAAUCCCUUAGAUUCUUCAGUGCAGGAGUAUUGCAAGCUCCUCUUUACUACCUUCUGUGUUACCUGUCCUCUACUUCUAAGACCUCCAUUCCUGUCACUGCCAGAUGAUCCUCUCUACUAUACUACAUUUAUUGUCUAAAAUAUUCAGUGGACCCCACUGUGAAGUCAGAACCUGCUAAAGUCAUUGUCAAAUUUUUUAGUGUGGCCUUAGAGUCUAAGAUGUCUUCUGUGUAAGCACUAGGUUGAUUAGUGAAUGUUCUAUGACUAUACAAUGCUCAAUGUCUUUACUUGUACUGAUUCCUUUUUCUGAAUUCAUAGCUUGCUUGGUAUCUCUGCCUGACCAGACUGUUGAAUCUGUUAAGUUUUCCUUUGGAUUAUGCCUCUUCAUUACAUCUGCCUUCACCGAUUAUUGUAGCCUAUAAUCCUUAUCAAUAUCACUACCAUUUACUUAAUCUAAACUGUCCUAUUAUUUUCACUCUUCAAGUGAGAUUUUGUCCUCUGUUGGAGACUAAUGUGGUACCCACAUACAUAGUAAGCACUUUAAAAAUAUUUUUUAAAUGAAAGAAUAACAUACAUUUGCCAGAACAAUUUUAAGCUCAUUCAUGGAUAGUUAUUAUUUGUAAUUAAACCAUAUAGUGUACAAAGUAAGCUCCUCUAAAACAUAAUUAUAGAAUUCUUAAUAAUAGAUAUUAGGCAUGUUUACCCUGGGAAUUUCUUUAGUUGCUUUCUUGAGCUUCCUAGGGUAUUUCUUCAAAUGGAGUGUUUCCAAGACUAUAGCAUUUGUCCCCAUGCCCAUUUUUAGUGUGCUUAUAAUAUGGUACAAAGUAUUUCUGUUGGUUUUAUUUUUGGCAAGGCAAAUAAAUGUGAAUACCAUUCCUAAAUGUAACUGUGUUAUAGUCUACUAUUUUUAUAAUAUGGCCAUUGUAUUACUUUAUCUUAUCUCCCAUUUGAAAAUUUUAAUUGAUUUAAAUAAUAAGCAUUUUUUGACCCCUCAGGACCAUGUUAGGAACUAAGGAAGGGAUACAAAAAUAUCAAGAUGCCAUUUUUUUUUGUUUUAAAAAGGCAUCGACAAGACCGAUAAGAUACAAUAUAAAAAUGUUAUUAAGUGAUUUUGCAAAUUCUUGGGAGAAAUAUUUGCCUUUAGAGAAAUGCUAGUAUUUCAUGACAAAAAGGAUUCCAGACAGAAUCUAGUAUUUUCUAUUCCUGAAUAUAUGUGAUAAUACAACUUUUUAUAACUAAGAUUUCUCAGCAUCUUAAAAUAGACAACUAAACAUAUCCUUACCACUUUAUAAAACCCUAUAAAGGAAGCAUUUGCAGUGUAACUGAACAGAGAGGUGAUGGGGAUUCUCUUAGCUGCUCUUUUAGAUGAUUCUCUCUGCAUUCUAAAAAUUGGUGAAAUGGUUGUAGUAUUUAUAGAGUCAGACUCUACCAGGAAAAUGUUGAUCUAGCUAUUUUUUCUCAGGUUAUCAGAUUCUAAGCAACUGUCAAUCUAUCUGGGCCACUAGGGUGCACUCAUUGUAUCUUAGUUUAUAAUUGCCUGAAAGAGUUAAUGUAACUUUUCAACUGUCUGCAGAGCAAUCUAGUAAUGAAAGAACCAAGCAUGGAGAUGUUGACAUCUCUCUUCUAAGGUUCUUUUAAAUUUUUCUUGAUUUUGUUGUUGUUGUUGUUUUGCUUGAAGAAUCCAUGAGCAGGAUGUUUGGGUCAGGGAUUGUUGUUCUACUUUGUAGAUGAGGAAAUAGAAAUGUAAAGGAGUAAGUCUGACAGGUGUAUCAGUCUAGUGUAUUUAUGCAUGUGUGCCCUGUCCUGAGAGCCAGCUGGCUUGGCCUUCUGCUUGUCAGCCUCUUGUGUGCCAUCCUCACAGCUGCAAAAGCUAGUGAUGCUUCCCAAAGGCAUGACUUCUCUACUGUACCUGCCCAAUGAGCAGAAAAGCCAUGUUUAGCACACCAGACUCUUCUGCCUUCAGGUCAGCAGCUCUUUUUGCUUUCCUGUUUGUCUAAUAAAUCUAUCAGUAAGGAGUCCUGUUUAAGGUCAGUCUGUAUUUUCCCUCCUCCCUUGUAUUCUCUACAUCUUUCUCUCUCUUUGCAUUGUGUAUGUUAAGGAAACCAUCACACAGCCAUUUUUUUUUCUUUUCCAGAAAACUUCAAAGCAGGGUCUUUUGCAAGAUUUUUGGACCUGCCUUUAUAUAGUUUGGGGAAACUAUUUAAAAUUUUUCUUGAGAUAGAAAUACAAGUUAGGUAAAGGUCCUUGGAAAUUGUCGAUGCAGCAGAGGGUCUCUGAAGCUGAAGCCUUUUAAAAAACAUUAUGGUAAAUCUGCCUAUGUUUGAAAAUUUUACUUUUUAGGAAGUAAUAUUGCCCUUUUAACUAUGAAGUUUGGGUGUCAUUACAUAAUUUUCUCCUUAAAUGUAUAGAGUUACUGUCUCUUAUUAAUGUAAAAGAAUGCAUUUCUUCAAGAAGAAACUUAUUAUAUGCCAUGAAAGCAAACCAUGAAGGACUUCAGUAUGUCUUUGUGUAAAAUAAUGUACCGCAUAGAGAUAAUUUUCAGAAUAUUUUGUAAGUACAAACAUCUGGUUUUUGACAUCAAAUUUCAAAAUGGGUCAUGUGAUAAUGUCUCUUACACAAGUUUGUGGUUUUUUUUAGUUGUAAAUGGACACAAUAUCUUUAUUUUAUUUGUUUAAUGUGGUGCAUAGGAUCGAACCCAGGGUCUCGCACGUGCUAGGUGAGCACUCUAUCGCUGAACCACAACCUCAGCCCUGUGAUUUUAAUAUUGGGAUGUGACUGAAAGGAGUUGUGCUGGUUCUGGAAUGUAACAGCUAUGUUGUUAAGAUCCUAUUCCCUAAAAUGUAGCUCAUUAGAUUUUUGAUCAUUUGUUCUUUAGUAUGACUAAAAGUCUAUCUUUGACUUUUACCCUCUGGCUAAGUUAAAUGUGGCCAUUUUAGCUACAAUUGACAUUAUUACUAGCAGUGAAUUAAACAAUGCAUCUAAAUUAAAAUCAGUACUGAGCACAGAUCUUUGGUGAUAUUUUUAAGUAAUAUAUUAACACAUUUGAGAAACAAUAAAAAGAUUAGCAUUUCAAGGCAUACUUUUACUAUGUAAAAAUAUCAGCUAAAUAGUUAAUAUUUCCCAGUUGUUAACUCAAAAUUAGCAUCCCAUUGUCCCUGGUGAUAUAUUGAAACCUCUAAGAAUGUACUUGGAAUUAAUGGAAACUGAGGUGAUUGGUAUUCAGAUAUAAUGCCUUAGUGGACUUUUUUCUUUCUUUCUUUUAAGUACAAGAUGAAAAUUGAAAGUAUGAAAGGCUUUGAGAUAAAUGGAAAUAGACAAAACAUUUUAUGCAACUGUUGGUGAAAGGGGCAUUCAUUAUUUUUGCUGAGCGUACUCUAUUGCUUGUGGACAGAAUUAGCACACAUAAGCCAGAGAAAGAGAUAAGACAAACAGAAUGGCAUGUAGCUAAUUUUGUUUAGCAAAUUUAGAUCUGUUGCAUGCUAUUUCACUCCUACAAACUGACUCUGUCUUUCUUUGAAAGGUACAGAUGAAGUUUGUCUCCCACAUCUUAACAGCUUUCACUCAAUAUUUAUAGACUACAUAAAAAUAAAUUUCUCUAAGUACCAUAUUUCUCACUGACAGGAUGAGUACUGUGAAGGUAGAUUUAUUAGUGAGAAAAUAAAAAAAGAAAAAAACCAAAAACAUUUCUCUUGUUUUAGGAGUGCAGAAAAUAAAAUAUGUCAAGGUAUCCAAAAUAUCUUUGUUUCAAGGACAUAUAUAUUGGAAUGAUAAUAUUCAAGGAUUUUUAUUAUUUGUGAGUGAGUCAGAAAUCCCAUUAUUUUAUGAUAUCUCUAACUAGUAAUUCAUCUGACAUUUGAGCCUAUAGGAUGCAAUCCUCUGUAAUUAUUAAGAAGUCACUUAGAUCAUAGUCCACAAACCCACAAACCUUAGUCUGUGUGGAAAAAUACUAUCAUUCUAUAGAAUAAAUUUCAGUGAAAUUUCUAAAUGGGGCUACUUGGGUGAGAAAAUGAUCACAAGACAUGUGACACUUGAUGGAAAUGUGAUUCUAGAAAAAGCCAGGAAUUUGUAAAUUAAUGUUCAUAUUUGGGAAUAUCUCAAGAUAGGUUUCUAAUGAUCUUUUUACACAGUGAAUUAUAUGAUAUGGUAUCCAAAGAGAUGUAGUGUUAUUUAUAUAUCUGCUAGACCUUUGUCAUGGUGCAAGACUACAUUCUCCAUAAUCAAGCUCACUGUAGAGAAUAAUUCUCAUAUUCAUGAGUUGUUCAUCUCAUCUUGUUGCCAGUGGUUAUUUCAAGGUUAAUUUUUUUCAGACAGUGUCUCUCUUGAUUAAGGUCUGUAGUAACUGUAUAUGUGCUGCUAUAGCAUAUGAAGGUUUUAAACUUGAAGACAUAUUUGAUUUCAUAUCAAUUCAAGAUCAAAUGCUUAUCAAUGCCUCCUGCUUAAAGACACAAAAAGUAAUUUUAUUGUUAAUUUUUUAUUUCUACUAGGAAUGUGGAGACUUGUGUUUGACAUUUUCACAAUCCUCUAAACACUUUUAUAGGUUAUGAUGAAAAAGUAUAUUCCAUUACCAGGAAUAUGUUUCUUAGAUUUUACUGAUUGUUUAAAUAUUGAAAUAUUUUAUACCUUACCUAAUUGGAUUUCGGAGGCCACUAUCAUGGAAUCCUUACCUCAGACUUAUCCUGAUCAAACAACUGAAGAGUUAACACCCAGCAGCACCAAAUCUCUCCUUUGGCAUAUGCUGUGAUCCAUUCUGAUGUACCUUGAACAUUUUAUAGCUACUAAACAUUAUGAAUAUUACCCUUACACAUUAACAAAAGAUUUGUCGUGUUUUAAAAUAGUAGAAAUAUGAAUAAUGUCAUACUAACUUUGUAACACUUUAAACAGUUUAAGGAAUGCAUGUAUCUAUGUUAAGCAUACACAGCGUAGAUACUUAUUGAAGUUUCAAAGGACAUGAUUUAAAUAAUGUUACAGGUCCAUAGGCUGAAAAUCAGAUGAGUGAGAGAAACCAAAAGACCCCAGUUUGGAUAUGUAUUUACAAAAGAAUUAUGUCACAGUACUUCUUUUGAAGAAUGAUUGAAGAAGUAAAGGCCUGGAGAAGAAGAGUCUUGGGGUGAGACAUAACUGUCUUCCAUAGUUGGAGGGCUGUUACAUAUAAGAGGGAUUAGCACUGUUCUCUGUAGCCUUGGAGAACAGAAACAUUGACAGCUGUUUGAAAUUGUAAGGCAUCCGAUUUCAGUUGAAACCAUCAAGGGGUUUCCAAUAGCUAGAGCUUCCCAGAGCUGGAGUGGCCUGUCCCAGAAGGCAGUGUGUUCCUUCAUGUGUGGGGUGGUAAGCUCUGAUCUAACCUCUUCUGUGACUCUAAGGAGUGAAUGAGGCAGCUGAGGAACAACUGGUCAGCGGUGUUGGGUUGGGCUCCAUGACUUCUGAGAGCCCUUCCUUCCUGAGCCUCUGUCACAUGCACAUCAAGGCCACAUAUGCUUUCUGAAUCACUGAAAAAAUAAAGGUGAAACACAAAUUCCAUGUUGUCAUGGCUAGGCUUCCCAACCAGUUGAUUUUCACCAUCUUGCCUGCUCUGUACACUAGAGGAUUUGUAUUUUUCAAAGAGUUUUUUUUUAAUUGUCAAAUAUUUUGUUCUUAUUGUUUACUUGACAGUUUAAUUUAAAACAUUCACAUCCAUCUGAUGUAAUGCAUAAUCACCAAUUCAUUCUUAAUUAAAAAAUUUAGAACAAAAGUAUAUGAGCUUUACACACACACACACACACACACAAACACACAAACACACACACACUUCAUUGUGUUUCUGAGUUUAUGAUAGCAAGUACUUGUAAAUCUGGCUCUAACUAAACAGGAAGCAGAAAUAUAUAGGAAGGUGGGGACAUAGGCAGAGGAGGGAAUUUAAAAAAUCCAGCCUGCAGUUGUGAGUGGGAGGGAAAUCACAGCAAAUGAAGAACUUUCCUAAAUGGAUUGAAAAUCAAACGAAUAUAAAAAGAUAAAGGUACAUAUGCAUGCCUGACUUAAUUACAAAUGUAAUAGAAGUCUGUUAUUUAGAAAUACUUCAAGAGUUUUGACAUUUCAAUCUUUUACUGCCACUUCUGGGUCUCUACUGUCAGAUAAACUUUGAACACAAUGUUUUGCUGUUUUCUUUUGUCUCUUUUCUUUUAAAAUACUUUAAGUUUCCCUUGUAUAAACAUGGCAUUUCUGUUACAUACUGUCUUCUGCUUUGGUUUUUCUGAUGUACCACGUCUCCUCAUAUCCGUGUCUAUAUUAAUUUCGUUGCCUCUUCAAACUCCUUAACUUUAUCUAUACUUCAAUGCAUUACCUCCAGUGCUCCUUAUAACCUGCAGAGUAGAGGGGUAUGAAUCCUCUUUCAUGGAUAAAGAAACUGAGACUUAGAAGUACAUAUUUGGCCAAAUCACACAGCUACUUCUCAGCAUAGGAAAUAUUCUGAUGAUCAGUUUGACUGUUGUUUGUUUUACAUCAGAUAUAUUUUGGUUCUAUGUCCUUAAAGGCAAAGAUGAAGACAUCCCUCUAAAUAAGAGAAAGGUCUUUUGGAGCUCCUACCUAAGCUCAUCCUCUUCACGACAUUUGGCUGAGUUAUGAGAUCUCUUCAGUUGUCUCAUCUCUCUUAGACUAUUUUGAGCUCUUGCCCCACUAUAGAGCUCUCAUCCUUCCUGUUUCUUCCAUUUGGAUAUGCCAUGGUGUCUUCAACUCAAACUAUCCAACAUUUUCCUCUUGGCUUUCACAAUUUAAUGUGCUUUUCUUAUCUUAAUUGGUAUUCACUUCUGUAAACCCCAAAUUAAUGGCACACACCUGUUCAGGUGGCCAAUCAGCAAUGCCUAAGCUCCUAGUAAUUCCAAAUAUCAAUACUGUAUAUAUGAAAAUAAACUGAAACUCCCCAAAAGUAUCUUAAGUCUGAGAUCAUGGACUUUACCUUUCUCAUAAUUUGAACAUGAAUUUGUGUCCUCUAUGUUUAUAAACAGGAGAUGGAAUAAUGGUUUGCAGAAUAAUUCUAUACCUGUACUGGCGUGAGCAGUGAAAGUGGGUUCUUUGGGGAAGAAUUUGACUCUCUCUGAGGAACAGUUUUCUCAAAUCAUUUUUCCUUCAUAUUCUGUUUUUAUAGUUUCAGUAUUAAAAAAAAACUGUAGAGAGACAGUUUUGUUCCAAAGAUUUAUGUUUACCUGGCAAACUCAGAUCCUGUCCUUUCAUGCUUAUUGUUUUUUAAAGUGCCUUCAAGAGAAAAUGGUUUUAAUCAAAUUCAUGAGAUAACUUUUUAUGUUAUAUUUUAUAGGCAUUUAAACUUUUCAAGAUAGGACCAACUAAUAUAAUGUAUGGUUGAAUGUAUUUUUGGAAAAAAUUCUGCAUGCCAGAGCUGAACGUAUUUCUGGAAACAUUUCUGCAUGCUAGAGAAAACCUGAAGAUCUAUGUACAAACGGUGAACAGAUUUUGCCACAUAGAAUAUAAUCAGUAAAUUGUUGUGAUUAUUAAAUGUUUUCCUGUAUUAUGUUUUUUACACAUUUAUUUAGACAGUUAAGGAAUUGGGUAAAGGCUGUGUGUGACAUUGUGAUGAUUUUAGUUCACAGAGCUCUUCCAUAGUACCUACUUGCUGAUUCGUAUUCUUGUACUGAAAAUCUUACAAGCUUAGAGGUAUCCCUAAUGGGAAUGAAGUUACAGCUCUUCUAAUGUUGCCUGCUUGCUUUUCCAGAACAACCUCACAAUCCCUAUAGCUAGUGAAUCAGGUUUUUUAAAAAGUUGUUUUUCCUAUUUACCAAUGUGGAAACCUUCCAGGAUGCUGUGAAUUGCUCAUUUGACAAAACGUAAACAUGAGUUUAAAAAACAGGAUAUUAUCCUUAGCCCAAGAGGUAGGUACAGAUUUUGAGUAUGAGCUCCACUACUUGUCAUUAUCUUAUUCAGCUGACAGGUGGUGCUCCAGAACAGUAUGGGCAGUGAGAAUGUAUGAUUAGAUUCCUAUCAGAAUUUUUGAGCAAAUCAGGUGCUGAACUCUUAAAGACCCCUUAACAUAUAGUUGAAUUACUAUACAUUUUAGAUGGAAGGAUAGUAACCCAACAAAAUCACCGUCACAUGGAAAACUUUCUUAAAUUUUUAAAGUUGCAGUCAUUGACCUUGACGGAUCUCAAGAUUUCACAUAGCUUCAACAAUCUGUCUUACUUUAAUGCAAAUGAAUAAUUUGGGAUAUUGAACUACAAAGAAUGUCAUUUUCCCCAGAUUCCUCUGUUGAUUCUGUUAUUGUUGUUAUUAUGAUAUUCUAUUAAUUUAGAAAAGUUUUUAACAACAUAGUUUAACACAAAGAUGUAUAAGAAUGUAUUAAUCUAAUCAGGAUGUCCUGAUUUAUUUAAAAUGAAGCUAUACAAGUUGACCAAACUCUUAUGAAUGCACUUCAUUAGUGACAAUAAUUGUUAACUAUGGUAACCCUUCACUGGAUACUUGGUGGUGUGAUUUAGAUUAGUCCUGUUCUGUGAUGAGGGUAUCGAGGUAAGAGAGUAAUGCAUUCAAGGUUUGAGUUUAAAGAAAGACAGUAGACAAUAGAGUUUAUGAGAGAAGCAGGGCUACUGAGCAGGGUAAGCUAGACUGCUUAGGUGAAAUGGCAACCCUAUAGCAUUUAGUCUGCCUUUCUUUCCUUUAUCUCAGUUCAUGCUGGCUUCUGUUGUAGAUUCUGUUGUCUUCCACCCUUGAGUGGUCCUAAGUGCACCUAUGAAUCAGGAACCAACUCCUGCUCCCACAGAGCAUUCUUAGUUUUUCUCUUCUGGUGAAUUUGCUACUUAAUAACCAAUCCAGAGAGUGUCUUUCCACACCCUCUGUAUUGCUAUCAGUUUUGUUAUUAAUUUUGUCUUUCUGAUUUAAAACACACCAUUGCAAUUUUCAAGUUCUGUUGUGUGUGUUAGAGUUCCAUGUAUUUAUGAAAUAACACUUUGCCCCAGCCCCUACCAUUAACUAGUAAAGCUGCUUUCUUCUUUACUACUGAUACAUGUUGGAGAAUUUGCCAUGAUUCUAAUGUGUCACUGAUUUCUUCCAAGUAGUGAUUUGAUAUUCAUACCACUCUGUGUGAAGCACUUUGGAUUGUUAAUUUUUAAUUUCUAUCAGGACAGGAUUCUGUUAACAGCUGAAAGUAGUUUGGGCAUGGCCCUCACAGCAUGGAAAACAAAGUUGCCAUGGUGGUAUCUAACAUCCUAACCGGAAGACAAAAGAGAAAGAAAUAACUGAGCUCUAUUUCCAUGGCUGGAGGGAGAAGAAGAAAGAAGAGAAGGAAAGAAAAAAACUGACAUUGGUUUGCAGUCACUCUCAGGCUAACAAGGGGGAGUUACAUGGACAAUUUUUACUGCGUUGCAUUUACUGCUCAACACAUUGCAAGUAACCUCUUGUACUCUAAUCAUUGGGAUAGUCGUUGAUGAUAAUGAAGUGACGGCAAUAAACAGUCUUUUGACGUUUUCCUGAA
Marmota monax (woodchuck) is the source of this 17981-nucleotide long non-coding RNA. RefSeq lists it as uncharacterized. The record is from RefSeq and is a predicted model, not a curated record. Lineage: Eukaryota; Metazoa; Chordata; Mammalia; Rodentia; Sciuridae. The transcript is spliced from 2 exons.